GACGAACGCUGGCGGCGUGCUUAACACAUGCAAGUCGAACGAAGAGCGACGGAAGCUUGCUUCUAUCAAUCUUAGUGGCGAACGGGUGAGUAACGCGUAAUCAACCUGCCCUUCAGAGGGGGACAACAGUUGGAAACGACUGCUAAUACCGCAUACGAUCUAACCUCGGCAUCGAGGAUAGAUGAAAGGUGGCCUCUACAUGUAAGCUAUCACUGAAGGAGGGGAUUGCGUCUGAUUAGCUAGUUGGAGGGGUAACGGCCCACCAAGGCGAGGAUCAGUAGCCGGUCUGAGAGGAUGAACGGCCACAUUGGGACUGAGACACGGCCCAGACUCCUACGGGAGGCAGCAGUGGGGAAUCUUCCGCAAUGGACGAAAGUCUGACGGAGCAACGCCGCGUGAGUGAUGACGGCCUUCGGGUUGUAAAGCUCUGUUAAUCGGGACGAAAGGCCUUCUUGCGAAUAGUGAGAAGGAUUGACGGUACCGGAAUAGAAAGCCACGGCUAACUACGUG
Molecule: ribosomal RNA, 510 nt
Filed under: uncultured bacterium
Lineage: Bacteria
Description: partial 16S ribosomal RNA
Rfam family: Bacterial small subunit ribosomal RNA
Source: RNAcentral